UCACAGAAAAGGUAAACAAUUAUACAAUUAUAUGAUAAGCUGCCAGUAUGAUAUACAGUAUAUACAUAUUACAUUCAAAAUUAAAAGGUUAUAAAAUUCAGAAUCGGGGAUAGCCUCUUAUAGCAUGGAUAGUAUCCUGUCAGACCUGAUACACAGAAUUAAUCAGUCUCUGGAAUGGCUCUCAUGAAAUAUUCCACAGUGUUUUAGUCUCCAUUGGUUUAUAGUAAUUUUUCUGUACUUUACAACAAACUCAGUCUUAGCCCAUAGGUAAUUUUGCUGCUUUGCUCUUAGAUUUGAAUGCUUGAGACACUUUAAUGGAUGAUGUAAGACUGCAGUUUCUACAUCAGUAGUAACUCUCCUGGAAUGUUCAUAAUGUCUCUUUUUAAAAACUGUCCUACUCCUCCCAUAUUCUAAUUUUCAAGCAAAAAUAACAAGGAUAUAGAGUUAUAUUAUUUAAGUUAUUCCACCUGAACAGAACCACAUAUAUUGUAUAUAGCUGAUGUACAGGAAGGCUCCUCAGAGGAAAGCACACUGAAAAACAUCCAAAAUAAUGGUUUCACACCAUAACAGGAAAAAAAGGAAAAGGAAAAGGAAAAGGAAAAGGACAUAGAAAGUUACUCCUGACUCUUCAUUUCCAAGGAAUCAAUCAAAGUAGAAAAAUACUAUGAAACACCUACAGGAGAAAACCACGCUACCCUCUACUAUGCCACAAACAUGAGUAAAUGCCAGAAGUCUGGCACAAGAAGAGAAAUGCUGAAAUAUGAGGCCAGGCUCAGACUAACUCUACCAUACAGGCUCCACACUUUAUGGCAUUGCUCUCCUUCUCCAGAUGGCACCCAAAAAUAAUUUAUUAAUGAAUGACAAAGUUCAGAGGGUUCAUACCAGCUGUUCAGUUCUAGUUCCCUUGACCACCCACUUUUUCAGAGCUUAUAGGUUUCACUCCAGUUUCAGACUCUUUGAAUCCUGCACCAGCAUGUGUUUAAAAUGCUGUGAGGCAGAGUCAGUCAAUAUGGGGGUGUUCGGUAACAAAACAUAAAGCAGACUCUUGUUCCCACAAUGCAAUAUACUCUUACACUUUUGUUUAGCAGACUUCGGAUAAGAGUAGAUUAAACCUCCUAGAACAGCUCAUUCAAUGGAAGCAUGUUAAAAUGCAUGUUCUCUUAGACAUCAAAAAAAGUAAAUGCGAUAUUCUUAUGUCUUACACUAGAUAAAACAAAAUACAAACAACAAAGCCCACACCAUUUAGUCUGUG
Lepisosteus oculatus (spotted gar) is the source of this 1252-nucleotide long non-coding RNA. RefSeq lists it as uncharacterized. The record is from RefSeq and is a predicted model, not a curated record. Lineage: Eukaryota; Metazoa; Chordata; Actinopteri; Semionotiformes; Lepisosteidae.